This 460-nucleotide ribosomal RNA is filed under the name uncultured bacterium. RNAcentral's name for it is "partial 16S ribosomal RNA". It matches the Rfam family "Bacterial small subunit ribosomal RNA", at positions 338 to 795 of the family's 1533-position model. The record is from RNAcentral.
CCUACGGGGUGCAGCAGUGAGGAAUAUUGGUCAAUGGACGGAAGUCUGAACCAGCCAUGCCGCGUGCAGGAAGACGGCUCUAUGAGUUGUAAACUGCUUUUGUACAAGGGUAAACCUGAAUACGUGUAUUCAGCUGAAAGUACUUUACGAAUAAGGAUCGGCUAACUCCGUGCCAGCAGCCGCGGUAAUACGGAGGAUCCAAGCGUUAUCCGGAUUUAUUGGGGUUAAAGGGUGCGUAGGCGGAUUGAUAAGUUAGAGGUGAAAUGCCCGAGCUUAACUCGGGAACUGCCUCUAAUACUGUUGGUCUAGAGAGUAGAUGCGGUAGGCGGAAUGUAUGGUGUAGCGGUGAAAUGCUUAGAGAUCAUACAGAACACCGAUUGCGAAGGCAGCUUACCAAGCUAUAUCUGACGUUGAGGCACGAAAGCGUGGGGAGCAAACAGGAUUAGAUACCCUUGUAGUC